AGAGUUUGAUCCUGGCUCAGGAUGAACGCUAGCGGGAGGCUUAACACAUGCAAGUCGAGGGGCAGCACGAGGUAGCAAUACUUUGGUGGCGACCGGCGCACGGGUGAGUAACACGUAUGCAACCUACCCUGUACUGGGGGAUAGCCCGGAGAAAUUCGGAUUAAUACCCCAUGAUUAUAUAGAAAGGCAUCUUUUUAUAUUUAAAGUUUCGACGGUACGGGAUGGGCAUGCGCAACAUUAGCUAGUUGGCAGGGUAACGGCCUACCAAGGCUACGAUGUUUAGGGGACCUGAGAGGGUGAUCCCCCACACUGGUACUGAGACACGGACCAGACUCCUACGGGAGGCAGCAGUGAGGAAUAUUGGUCAAUGGGCGUAAGCCUGAACCAGCCAUCCCGCGUGCAGGAAGACGGCGCUAUGCGUUGUAAACUGCUUUUCCAGGGAAAGAAAACCCCCGACGCGUCGGGGCUUGCCGGUACCCUGGGAAUAAGCAUCGGCUAACUCCGUGCCAGCAGCCGCGGUAAUACGGAGGAUGCGAGCGUUAUCCGGAUUUAUUGGGUUUAAAGGGUGCGUAGGCGGAUCAAUAAGUCAGUGGUGAAAACCUUCAGCUUAACUGGAGACUUGCCAUUGAUACUGUUAGUCUUGAGUACGGUCAAGGUAGGCGGAAUGUGUAAUGUAGCGGUGAAAUGCUUAGAUAUUACACAGAACACCGAUUGCGACGCAGCUUACUGGGUCAUUACUGACGCUGAUGCACGAAAGCGUGGGAGCGACAGGAUUAGAUACCCUGUAGUCACGCGUAACGAUGAUCACUCGCUGUGGCGAUACACAGUCAGCG
RNAcentral lists this ribosomal RNA (833 nucleotides) under uncultured bacterium. RNAcentral describes it as "bacterial SSU rRNA". It matches the Rfam family "Bacterial small subunit ribosomal RNA", at positions 8 to 840 of the family's 1533-position model. The record is from RNAcentral.